RNAcentral lists this ribosomal RNA (119 nucleotides) under Marchantia polymorpha subsp. ruderalis. The record is from RNAcentral. Lineage: Eukaryota; Viridiplantae; Streptophyta; Marchantiopsida; Marchantiales; Marchantiaceae.
AGAUGCAAUCAUACCAGGGCUACUACACUAGAUCCCAUUAGAACUCUGUAGUUAAGCGCCCAUGAGCCGGAGUAGUAAUGGGAUGGGUGAUCUCCCGCGAAGUCCCGGUGUCGCAUCCA